CCUACGGGUGGCUGCAGUGGGGAAUAUUGGACAAUGGGCGAAAGCCUGAUCCAGCCAUGCCGCGUGUGUGAAGAAGGCCUUCGGGUUGUAAAGCACUUUCAGUGGGGAAGAAAGCCUUGGGGCUAAUACCCUCGAGGAAGGACAUCACCCACAGAAGAAGCACCGGCUAACUCCGUGCCAGCAGCCGCGGUAAUACGGAGGGUGCGAGCGUUAAUCGGAAUUACUGGGCGUAAAGCGCGCGUAGGCGGUCUGUUAAGCCGGUUGUGAAAGCCCCGGGCUCAACCUGGGAACGGCAUCCGGAACUGUCAGGCUAGAGUGCAGGAGAGGAAGGUAGAAUUCCCGGUGUAGCGGUGAAAUGCGUAGAGAUCGGGAGGAAUACCAGUGGCGAAGGCGGCCUUCUGGACUGACACUGACGCUGAGGUGCGAAAGCGUGGGUAGCAAACAGGAUUAGAUACCCGGGUAGUC
Molecule: ribosomal RNA, 465 nt
Filed under: Vreelandella stevensii
Lineage: Bacteria; Pseudomonadati; Pseudomonadota; Gammaproteobacteria; Oceanospirillales; Halomonadaceae
Description: partial 16S ribosomal RNA
Rfam family: Bacterial small subunit ribosomal RNA
Source: RNAcentral